This 554-nucleotide ribosomal RNA is filed under the name uncultured Lactococcus sp. Its description in RNAcentral is "bacterial SSU rRNA". It matches the Rfam family "Bacterial small subunit ribosomal RNA", at positions 951 to 1506 of the family's 1533-position model. Lineage: Bacteria; Bacillati; Bacillota; Bacilli; Lactobacillales; Streptococcaceae. The record is from RNAcentral.
UCGAAGCAACGCGAAGAACCUUACCAGGUCUUGACAUACUCGUGCUAUUCCUAGAGAUAGGAAGUUCCUUCGGGACACGGGAUACAGGUGGUGCAUGGUUGUCGUCAGCUCGUGUCGUGAGAUGUUGGGUUAAGUCCCGCAACGAGCGCAACCCCUAUUGUUAGUUGCCAUCAUUAAGUUGGGCACUCUAACGAGACUGCCGGUGAUAAACCGGAGGAAGGUGGGGAUGACGUCAAAUCAUCAUGCCCCUUAUGACCUGGGCUACACACGUGCUACAAUGGAUGGUACAACGAGUCGCGAGACAGUGAUGUUUAGCUAAUCUCUUAGAACCAUUCUCAGUUCGGAUUGUAGGCUGCAACUCGCCUACAUGAAGUCGGAAUCGCUAGUAAUCGCGGAUCAGCACGCCGCGGUGAAUACGUUCCCGGGCCUUGUACACACCGCCCGUCACACCACGGGAGUUGGGAGUACCCGAAGUAGGUUGCCUAACCGCAAGGAGGGCGCUUCCUAAGGUAAGACCGAUGACUGGGGUGAAGUCGUAACAAGGUACCAGUAUC